This 312-nucleotide unclassified non-coding RNA is filed under the name plant metagenome. RNAcentral's name for it is "partial contains small subunit ribosomal RNA, internal transcribed spacer 1, and 5.8S ribosomal RNA". The record is from RNAcentral.
UUUCCGUAGGUGAACCUGCGGAAGGAUCAUUAACACGUUUCGUUCCGAUAACGUUAUUCUUGACCCAUUCUAUUUUCCGUGCACUUUUUCCAAAUACCGGCCUCCCGACCUUUCCUCUCGGUUUAUUCCGUCUGUUUUGAUUGUGUCGGGCGUUCUUGUGGGUUCAGUCCCAUGAGAGCGUUGCCAACUAACCCAAACCCCUUAAAUCUAAUUGAUCUGAACUUGAAAAGUUGGUGGGCUACAAUUGAAUUGUGGCUCCAACGAAAUACCAAAACUAAAAAACAACUCUUAACAAUGGAUAUCUUGGUUCUC